This 25-nucleotide non-coding RNA is filed under the name Mus musculus (house mouse). Lineage: Eukaryota; Metazoa; Chordata; Mammalia; Rodentia; Muridae. The record is from RNAcentral. RNAcentral also lists the same sequence under 1 other name.
AUCCCAGCAUUCUGGAGGUGGAGGC